UCCCUCCGCCCGCUCCGAGGGUCCGCGGAAAGUAGUCCCGCGCGCCCUCUGCCCUGACGCGGUGUGUGCCAGCUACCCGAGUGAAAGGUUUUCGGGGGAUUAAUCCUGAUGGGGUCUGCGGCGGCCCUUGCCCAGCGCCUUCCACAUGUGGAGCGGGCCAGUGGUGCUAGUUCUGCCGCCAACUCUGGACGGUUGAGUUCAGGGCCACUUUUUACUCAGGCACGGAUGUGACAGAAAGAUGGAAAAGGGUCUUGGAAGAACCACAUGUGCCGUAUAACGAACGACCUUUUGGUCUGAGGAGGACCGUGUAUAUGACGGUGGUCCCAUAACAUGAUAACGGAGCUGGAAACUUCCUGUCCUCUGGUGAGGGCUUAGCUAAGGACAUUUCCUCUCCUGUAUUUGGAGAUACACGUACAGGUGGAUCUGAAGCAGUGCUGCCUUAGUCUCCUUGGACUCUCAGCUCCAUUUCCUCAGCUCAAGUAGUCCACUGGGCUCUACCUCAGUUCUGCCUCCUCUUGCUGUGGCCUAGAAAUUCUCUCUGGAUAUCAGAAAACAAAGGACAGUAAUCCCUGCCAAGAUGGGAUACAAACAAGACCCUGUGGACACAGAGUGACAGCUGAGUGCAAGUGUCAGUGAAGAGACCUAGAUUGUGGGGACUUUCCUGGCCUGGCAGAGAACCUUGUGUCUGCUCACGGGAGAAGGAAAGAACAAUUCCUCUGCAGAACUCCCAUUAUGGAUUCAUGGGUAUACUUGGAUGGUGUCUGAUGGAGCCUCGAUCUGUCGCCCAGGCUGGAGUGCAGU
RNAcentral lists this long non-coding RNA (801 nucleotides) under Homo sapiens (human). RNAcentral's name for it is "HSALNT0404943". The record is from RNAcentral. Lineage: Eukaryota; Metazoa; Chordata; Mammalia; Primates; Hominidae.